UAGCUUAGAGGGUACUGCUUUGGUUGGAGAAUCAAGCGCCAUUGUGUUGGCGUGGGCGGGAGCCUCGACUUCCUGAUCGGCGGAUGGAGGUAGGAGCACCGUAGGCAAAGGGUCUGACUCUGAGUACGACCUGGACCCUGAAGACAUCCGCAUGCUUUAGGACGACCAUACCCGCACAAUGGUGCAUGCAGAAGGGUAGUUCUGUUACGAUAAGAUCCUUAUAGAUCAGAAAUUGCUGCUUCAAGAGGAAAAUUUGGUGCCGUUGUUCGAGGUUUUAUGCUUGGAGGUGGAAAGCACAUCGCUGUGGGGCAUCUCAGACAUCAUGCUGAAGGGAGAGACGACCGCGCAGGGCCUGAAAGUAUGUGUAGUGACUUUUUAGUUUUUCUCUUUGUUUCACUUGGUUGAUUUUUUGUUCUGACUAUUGCUUCGUUCUUGUAGCUAUUUUGUUAGUGGUGGAGAGCAUCCACCGAGCUAACGUCCAUUCAGGGAUUUUCUCUCGGGCGCUGGAAAAGUACCGUCGCUACCGGGACCGGUACAGCGAUAUGCGUGAGUGCAAGAGGAACGAUCCUCAGAAUUGAG
RNAcentral lists this long non-coding RNA (579 nucleotides) under Nicotiana benthamiana. RNAcentral describes it as "long non-coding RNA (NBEN_LNC029358)". Lineage: Eukaryota; Viridiplantae; Streptophyta; Magnoliopsida; Solanales; Solanaceae. The record is from RNAcentral.